RNAcentral lists this ribosomal RNA (301 nucleotides) under uncultured bacterium. Its description in RNAcentral is "partial 16S ribosomal RNA". It matches the Rfam family "Bacterial small subunit ribosomal RNA", at positions 509 to 807 of the family's 1533-position model. The record is from RNAcentral.
CAGUAGCCGCGGGAAUACGAAGGGUGCAAGCGUUAAUCGGAAUUACUGGGCGUAAAGCGCGCGUAGGUGGUUUGGUAAGAUGGAUGUGAAAUCCCCGGGCUCAACCUGGGAACUGCAUCCAUAACUGCCUGACUAGAGUACGGUAGAGGGUGGUGGAAUUUCCUGUGUAGCGGUGAAAUGCGUAGAUAUAGGAAGGAACACCAGUGGCGAAGGCGACCACCUGGACUGAUACUGACACUGAGGUGCGAAAGCGUGGGGAGCAAACAGGAUUAGAUACCCCCGUAGUCCCUGUCUCUUAUAC